AACCUCCGCAAUGUACGAAAGUGCGACGGGGGGAUCCCAAGUGUUAUGCUUUUUUGUAUAACUUUUCAUUAGUGUAAAAAGCUUUUAGAAUAAGAGCUGGGCAAGACCGGUGCCAGCCGCCGCGGUAACACCGGCAGCUCGAGUGGUAGCUGUUUUUAUUGGGCCUAAAGCGUUCGUAGCCGGUUUGAUAAGUCACUGGUGAAAUCCUGUAGCUUAACUGUGGGAAUUGCUGGUGAUACUGUUGAACUUGAGGUCGGGAGAGGUUAGCGGUACUCCCAGGGUAGAGGUGAAAUUCUGUAAUCCUGGGAGGACCGCCUGUUGCGAAGGCGUCUAACUGGAAUGGUUCUGACGGUGAGGGACGAAAGUUAGGGGCGCGAACCGGAUUAGAUACCCGGGUAGUCCUAACUGUAAACGAUGCGGACUUGGUGUUGGGGUGGCUUUGAGCUGCUCCAGUGCCGAAGGAAGCUGUUAAGUCCGCCGCCUGGGAAGUACGGUCGCAAGACUGAAACUUAAAGGAAUU
This 520-nucleotide ribosomal RNA is filed under the name uncultured bacterium. Its description in RNAcentral is "bacterial SSU rRNA". It matches the Rfam family "Archaeal small subunit ribosomal RNA", at positions 345 to 866 of the family's 1478-position model. The record is from RNAcentral.